GGCGGUUCGCCGCCCCCGACGUCGCGAGAAGUCCAUUGAACCUUAUCAUUUAGAGGAAGGAGAAGUCGUAACAAGGUUUCCGUAGGUGAACCUGCGGAAGGAUCAUUGUCGUGACCCUGACCAAAACAGACCGCGCACGCGUCAUCCAAUCCGUCGGCGACGGCACCGUCCGUUGCUCGGCCAAUGCCUCGACCACCUCCCCUCUUCGGAGUGGGUGGGGGCUCGGGGUAAAAGAACCCACGGCGCCGAAGGCGUCAAGGAACACUGUGCAUAACCCGGGGGCAUGGCUAGCUUGCUAGCCGUCCCUCGUGUUGCAAAGCUAUUUAAUCCACACGACUCUCGGCAACGGAUAUCUCGGCUCUCGCAUCGAUGAAGAACGUAGCGAAAUGCGAUACCUGGUGUGAAUUGCAGAAUCCCGCGAACCAUCGAGUCUUUGAACGCAAGUUGCGCCCGAGGCCACUCGGCCGAGGGCACGCCUGCCUGGGCGUCACGCCAAAACACGCUCCCAACCCCCCUCAUCGGGAAUCGGGAUGCGGCAUCUGGUCCCUCGUCUCGCAAGGGGCGGUUGACCGAAGAUCGGGCUGCCGGCRUACCGCGUCGGACACAGCGCAUGGUGGGCGUCCUCGCUUUAUCAACGCAGUGCAUCCGACGCGCAGCCGGCAUGAUGGCCUCAAAACGACCCAGCAAACGAAGCGCACGUCGCUUCGACCGCGACCCCAGGUCAGGCGGGACUACCCGCUGAGUUUAAGCAUAUAAAUAAG
This 761-nucleotide ribosomal RNA is filed under the name Anthosachne sacandros. Its description in RNAcentral is "eukaryotic LSU rRNA". The stretch from base 335 to 490 matches the Rfam family "5.8S ribosomal RNA". Lineage: Eukaryota; Viridiplantae; Streptophyta; Magnoliopsida; Poales; Poaceae. The record is from RNAcentral.